This 328-nucleotide unclassified non-coding RNA is filed under the name soil metagenome. Its description in RNAcentral is "partial contains 5.8S ribosomal RNA, internal transcribed spacer 2, and large subunit ribosomal RNA". The stretch from base 1 to 120 matches the Rfam family "5.8S ribosomal RNA", at positions 35 to 154 of the family's 154-position model. The record is from RNAcentral.
GAUGAAGAACGUAGUGAAAUGCGAUAAGUAGUGUGAAUUGCAGAAUUCAGUGAAUCAUCGAAUCUUUGAACGCACAUUGCGCCCCUUGGUAUCCCGAGGGGCAUGCCUGUUCGAGCGUCAUUUCACCACUCAAGCCUGGCUUGGUGUUGGGCGACGUCCUCUUUGGGGACGCGCCUCGAAACGCUCGGCGGCGUGGCACCGGCUUUAAGCGUAGCAGAAUCUUUCGCUUUGGAAGUCGGGGCCCCGUCUGCCGGAAGACCUGCUCGCAAGGUUGACCUCGGAUCAGGCAGGGAUACCCGCUGAACUUAAGCAUAUCAUAAGCGGAGGA